Molecule: ribosomal RNA, 446 nt
Filed under: uncultured bacterium
Lineage: Bacteria
Description: partial 16S ribosomal RNA
Rfam family: Bacterial small subunit ribosomal RNA
Source: RNAcentral
CCUACGGGUGGCAGCAGUCGAGAAUCAUUCACAAUGGGGGAAACCCUGAUGGUGCGACGCCGCGUGGGUGAAUGAAGGUCUUCGGAUUGUAAACCCCUGUCACGUGGGAGCAAACUAAAAAGAUAGUACCACAAGAGGAAGAGACGGCAAACUCUGUGCCAGCAGCCGCGGUAAUACAGAGGUCUCAAACGUUGUUCGGAAGCACUGGGCGUAAGUCGUGCGUGGGCUGUUUCGUAAGUCGUGUGUGAAAGGCGAGGGCUCAACCCGCGGACGGCAGAUGAUACUGCGAGACUAGAGUGAUGGAGAGGGAACCGGAAUUCUCGGGGUAGCAGUGAAAUGCGUAGAUAUCGAGAGGAACACUCGUGGCGAAGGCGGGUACCUGGACAUUAACUGACGCUGAGGCACGAAGGCCAGGGGAGCGAAAGGGAUUAGAUACCCCAGUAGUC